CAGCCGAGGAUGCGCCGUGCGACGGGCGAGC
Molecule: small RNA, 31 nt
Filed under: Bombyx mori (domestic silkworm)
Lineage: Eukaryota; Metazoa; Arthropoda; Insecta; Lepidoptera; Bombycidae
Description: ovarian small RNA-13209
Source: RNAcentral